RNAcentral lists this ribosomal RNA (252 nucleotides) under Triticum aestivum (bread wheat). RNAcentral's name for it is "partial small subunit ribosomal RNA". The record is from RNAcentral. Lineage: Eukaryota; Viridiplantae; Streptophyta; Magnoliopsida; Poales; Poaceae.
AUGGUCUCAGAGGCGCAUAACAACCGUGCGGAGUACGACAAGUCUUUGCAUGAAGCGCGUCGGGAGAUCGACUUGAAGGUGCAAAAGGAUCGCGCUGAGGUAGAUAAGAAACAGAAAAAAGAACAUUCAUACGUGGACAUGAUGAUAAAGGAGGAGCGUGAGGAGUUUUCCCUUAAGAUGGCGAAGAUGCGUCUUGAGAUUGAAGAAAAGUAUAAGAGGAACUGUGAGGACAUGGAAAAAAGUUUGUCUUAG